CCUGGCUCAGGAUGAACGCUAGCGACAGGCUUAACACAUGCAAGUCGAGGGGCAGCGGGGGUAGCAAUACCCGCCGGCGACCGGCGCACGGGUGAGUAACGCGUAUGCAACUUACCUAUCAGAGGGGGAUAACCCGGCGAAAGUCGGACUAAUACCGCAUGAAGCAGGGGCCCCGCAUGGGGAUAUUUGCUAAAGAUUCAUCGCUGAUAGAUAGGCAUGCGUUCCAUUAGGCAGUUGGCGGGGUAACGGCCCACCAAACCGACGAUGGAUAGGGGUUCUGAGAGGAAGGUCCCCCACAUUGGUACUGAGACACGGACCAAACUCCUACGGGAGGCAGCAGUGAGGAAUAUUGGUCAAUGGGCGUAAGCCUGAACCAGCCAAGUCGCGUGAGGGAUGAAGGUUCUAUGGAUCGUAAACCUCUUUUAUAAGGGAAUAAAGUGUAGGACGUGUCUAUUUUGUAUGUACCUUAUGAAUAAGGAUCGGCUAACUCCGUGCCAGCAGCCGCGGUAAUACGGAGGAUCCGAGCGUUAUCCGGAUUUAUUGGGUUUAAAGGGUGCGUAGGCGGCCUUUUAAGUCAGCGGUGAAAGUCUGUGGCUCAACCAUAGAAUUGCCGUUGAAACUGGGAGGCUUGAGUAUGUUUGAGGCAGGCGGAAUGCGUGGUGUAGCGGUGAAAUGCUUAGAUAUCACGCAGAACCCCGAUUGCGAAGGCAGCCUGCCAAGCCAUGACUGACGCUGAUGCACGAAAGCGUGGGGAUCAAACAGGAUUAGAUACCCUGGUAGUCCACGCAGUAAACGAUGAUCACUAGCUGUUUGCGAUACAGUGUAAGCGGCACAGCGAAAGCGUUAAGUGAUCCACCUGGGGAGUACGCCGGCAACGGUGAAACUCAAAGGAAUUGACGGGGGCCCGCACAAGCGGAGGAACAUGUGGUUUAAUUCGAUGAUACGCGAGGAACCUUACCCGGGUUUGAACGCAUUCGGACCGAGGUGGAAACACCUUUUCUAGCAAUAGCCGUUUGCGAGGUGCUGCAUGGUUGUCGUCAGCUCGUGCCGUGAGGUGUCGGCUUAAGUGCCAUAACGAGCGCAACCCUUGCCACUAGUUACUAACAGGUGAUGCUGAGGACUCUGGUGGGACUGCCAGCGUAAGCUGCGAGGAAGGCGGGGAUGACGUCAAAUCAGCACGGCCCUUACAUCCGGGGCGACACACGUGUUACAAUGGCGUGGACAAAGGGAGGCCACCUGGCGACAGGGAGCGAAUCCCCAAACCACGUCUCAGUUCGGAUCGGAGUCUGCAACCCGACUCCGUGAAGCUGGAUUCGCUAGUAAUCGCGCAUCAGCCAUGGCGCGGUGAAUACGUUCCCGAGCGUUGCACACACCG
Molecule: ribosomal RNA, 1375 nt
Filed under: uncultured bacterium
Lineage: Bacteria
Description: 16S ribosomal RNA
Rfam family: Bacterial small subunit ribosomal RNA
Source: RNAcentral